This is a non-coding RNA of Paramuricea clavata, 424 nucleotides long. The record is from the annotation of a GenBank genome assembly. Lineage: Eukaryota; Metazoa; Cnidaria; Anthozoa; Malacalcyonacea; Plexauridae.
GUGAUAUUUAGAUUUUAUUGAAAAUAAUUGUGAGACUAAAACCAAAGUAACAAUAUUGCAACUUAUAUCUUGAGAAUUUGGUAACGCAUGAAAUCAUCAUACGGAAGUAUCAAUCAAGGAACCAUGACAGGUUUAUGGCGCAGGAGUGUGGUAGGUCAGUGCAAAAUUAUGAAAAAAGCUUGAGUUUUUUCCUUGCUUUAAUUAAGACGAGAAUUUAAAGUAGGUGAAUGAUAUUUAAUAUGAAGUGCUUCAAGCAACAAGAGGAAAUUAGGUAACUUGCGAGAGUUAAUUAGGAUGGUUUCCAGUGUUGCGUUUUUCCUGCGCACGAACAGGCACGUAAAACUUUAAAUCCAUUUACUGUAAAUGUUACUUAUGAAAUAACCAAAGAAAUAGAGCAACAGAAUUUAGUGUUCCCCAUGAGAAG